GGAGGUGAGUUUGGUUAGUUAGUUUUAAUUCUUUGUUUUUAAGGUUUAUUGUCUUGUACUCGUCCAUUAAUUCAUUGAAGGCAUCAUAUAGUUCAUCGAAAGUAAAAUCUAAAUGUGUUGCGGAUGUUACCUCAUUGUCAUUAGCCAUAAAACACAGAUUAGCCUUUUCUUCUUGUUCUUCAUCUGAUGAUGAUGAUGAUGUGUCGGAGUCCGAUAGGGUGGAGACGAGGACUUUCUUCUUCUUGUACUUGCUCCCCUUCUUCAGCAAAGGACACUCAGCUCUGAAGUGCCC
Molecule: long non-coding RNA, 292 nt
Filed under: Phoenix dactylifera (date palm)
Lineage: Eukaryota; Viridiplantae; Streptophyta; Magnoliopsida; Arecales; Arecaceae
Description: long non-coding RNA (PDAC_LNC012605)
Source: RNAcentral